Molecule: ribosomal RNA, 601 nt
Filed under: uncultured bacterium
Lineage: Bacteria
Description: bacterial SSU rRNA
Rfam family: Bacterial small subunit ribosomal RNA
Source: RNAcentral
GAGUUUGAUCCUGGCUCAGGAUGAACCUGGCGGUAUGCCUUAUACAUGCAAGUCGUACGGGAGUUUUUAACUCAAGUGGCGGACGGGUGAGUAACACGUGAGUAAUUUGCCUUUAGGAGGGGGAUAACAAUUGGAAACGAUUGCUAAAACCCCAUAUGCUUUAGAGUGAAAAAGAUUUAUCUGCCUAAAGAAAAGCUCGCGGCUGAUUAGCUAGUUGGUAGGGUAAUGGCUUACCAAGGCGACGAUCAGUAUCUGGUUUGAGAGGACGAUCAGACACACUGGAACUGAGACACGGUCCAGACUCCUACGGGAGGCAGCAGUAGGGAAUUUUCCGCAAUGGGCGAAAGCCUGACGGAGCAAUACCGCGUGAGGGAAGACUGCCUAUGGGUUGUAAACCUCUUUUUUCAGGGAGGAAUAACUGACGUGUACCUGAAGAAUAAGCAUCGGCUAACUCCGUGCCAGCAGCCGCGGUAAGACGGAGGAUGCAAGUGUUAUCCGGAAUCACUGGGCGUAAAGCGUCUGUAGGUGGUUGUAUAAGUCAACUGUUAAAUCUUGAGGCUCAACUUCAAAGUCGCAGUCGAAACUAUUCAACUAGAGUAUA